RNAcentral lists this ribosomal RNA (468 nucleotides) under uncultured bacterium. RNAcentral describes it as "partial 16S ribosomal RNA". It matches the Rfam family "Bacterial small subunit ribosomal RNA", at positions 28 to 507 of the family's 1533-position model. The record is from RNAcentral.
GACGAACGCUGGCGGCGUGCUUAACACAUGCAAGUCGAACGGAAAGGCCCUGCUUUUGUGGGGUGCUCGAGUGGCGAACGGGUGAGUAACACGUGAGUAACCUGCCCUUGACUUUGGGAUAACUUCAGGAAACUGGGGCUAAUACCGGAUAGGAGCUCCUGCUGCAUGGUGGGGGUUGGAAAGUUUCGGCGGUUGGGGAUGGACUCGCGGCUUAUCAGCUUGUUGGUGGGGUAGUGGCCUACCAAGGCUUUGACGGGUAGCCGGCCUGAGAGGGUGACCGGCCACAUUGGGACUGAGAUACGGCCCAGACUCCUACGGGAGGCAGCAGUGGGGAAUAUUGCACAAUGGGCGGAAGCCUGAUGCAGCAACGCCGCGUUCGGGAUGACGGCCUUCGGGUUGUAAACCGCUUUCGCCUGUGACGAAGCGUGAGUGACGGUAAUGGGUAAAGAAGCACCGGCUAACUACGUG